ACACGAGGCAUCCUCUGCGGUUGCGCAGCCCGCCGAAGAGCGUGCGACUUCUACUGCGGCUGCGCAAGCUGGACGCGCGCAGUCUUGUCUGCUUACGAGGGCUCCUCCCUUCAUCUUUGGUCCCUCGGGGCGUCUGGGCAGCCUACGCUUUCCGUAAACACUGGGAUGCUGGAGCUCAGGCAUCCCAGACAGGAGGAGUGUGUACUCACACCAGCCAGGAGGAAACAAGCCUGCCUGAGAGGACAGAGGAUCAGCCCUGGCUGUCCCUCGGGAGCGGGGGGCCUCCAAGGCACACUGCCCACUGGGUCAAGGAGUAUCCAGGAGGAGUUAGAAGCAUGACCCAUCCGCCUGGCACCAGCACCUGGGGCUGCCAGGCAGCCACCCCUGCAGCUGUGUUGACAGGGCCUGGCAGAGGGACUGACCCACCUUUGGAAAAUGACACCAGCAAUAUCAGGAUGUGUCAACUGGAUUUAUGUUAAGAAAAUAGGAUUUUUGGCGUUCCUCUGUUUCCCAAAGUUUGAGACACUUUCAGACACUCUGCUUUGCGGUUGUGGC
RNAcentral lists this antisense RNA (555 nucleotides) under Pongo abelii (Sumatran orangutan). The stretch from base 156 to 335 matches the Rfam family "TTC28 antisense RNA 1 conserved region 3". Lineage: Eukaryota; Metazoa; Chordata; Mammalia; Primates; Hominidae. The record is from RNAcentral.